Molecule: ribosomal RNA, 465 nt
Filed under: Vreelandella stevensii
Lineage: Bacteria; Pseudomonadati; Pseudomonadota; Gammaproteobacteria; Oceanospirillales; Halomonadaceae
Description: partial 16S ribosomal RNA
Rfam family: Bacterial small subunit ribosomal RNA
Source: RNAcentral
CCUACGGGUGGCAGCAGUGGGGAAUAUUGGACAAUGGGCGAAAGCCUGAUCCAGCCAUGCCGCGUGUGUGAAGAAGGCCUUCGGGUUGUAAAGCACUUUCAGUGGGGAAGAAAGCCUUGGGGCUAAUACCCUCGAGGAAGGACAUCACCCACAGAAGAAGCACCGGCUAACUCCGUGCCAGCAGCCGCGGUAAUACGGAGGGUGCGAGCGUUAAUCGGAAUUACUGGGCGUAAAGCGCGCGUAGGCGGUCUGAUAAGCCGGUUGUGAAAGCCCCGGGCUCAACCUGGGAACGGCAUCCGGAACUGUCAGGCUAGAGUGCAGGAGAGGAAGGUAGAAUUCCCGGUGUAGCAGUGAAAUGCGUAGAUAUCGGGAGGAAUACCAGUGGCGAAGGCGGCCUUCUGGACUGACACUGACGCUGAGGUGCGAAAGCGUGGGUAGCAAACAGGAUUAGAUACCCGAGUAGUC